AUGGGCGCAAGCCUGAUGCAGCCAUGCCGCGUGUAUGAAGAAGGCCUUCGGGUUGUAAAGUACUUUCAGCAGUGAGGAAGGUGGAUGUGUUAAUAGCGCAUUCAUUUGACGUUAGCUGCAGAAGAAGCACCGGCUAACUCCGUGCCAGCAGCCGCGGUAAUACGGAGGGUGCGAGCGUUAAUCGGAAUUACUGGGCGUAAAGCGCAUGCAGGUGGUUUGUUAAGUCAGAUGUGAAAGCCCGGGGCUCAACCUCGGAAUUGCAUUUGAAACUGGCAGACUAGAGUACUGUAGAGGGGGGUAGAAUUUCAGGUGUAGCGGUGAAAUGCGUAGAGAUCUGAAGGAAUACCGGUGGCGAAGGCGGCCCCCUGGACAGAUACUGACACUCAGAUGCGAAAGCGUGGGGAGCAAACAGGAUUAGAUACCCUGGUAGUCCACGCCGUAAACGAUGUCUACUUGGAGGUUGUGGGGGGAGCCGUGGCUUUCGGAGCUAACGCGUUAAGUAGACCGCCUGGG
RNAcentral lists this ribosomal RNA (513 nucleotides) under Vibrio sp. 8Bb3S76. RNAcentral describes it as "bacterial SSU rRNA". It matches the Rfam family "Bacterial small subunit ribosomal RNA", at positions 371 to 877 of the family's 1533-position model. Lineage: Bacteria; Pseudomonadati; Pseudomonadota; Gammaproteobacteria; Vibrionales; Vibrionaceae. The record is from RNAcentral.